This is a long non-coding RNA of Notothenia coriiceps (black rockcod), 2233 nucleotides long. RefSeq lists it as uncharacterized. NCBI's taxonomy places the organism in Eukaryota, Metazoa, Chordata, Actinopteri, Perciformes, Nototheniidae. The record is from RefSeq and is a predicted model, not a curated record. The transcript is spliced from 3 exons.
CGAGGCUCAGGACUCAUGGAGGACGAUGAGGAGCCAAUAGUGGAGGAUGUGAUGAUGUCAUCAGAGGACCGCUUGGAGGACAUUAAUGAGGGCAUGGACUUUGACACAAUGGACAUUGAUUUGCCUGCAUCAAAGAAUCGCAGAGAGAGAACUGAACUAAAACCGGACUACUUUGAUCCGUCUUCAAUCAUGGAUGACUCUGUUCUCAAUGUUUCCAUGUUCUAAAACAAAUGGAUGCAUCAAGGAGAAUGUGUUAUCAAAUCCUUGGAAGAUAAGAUGGAUGGCUGUUCUCUGUGAAAAUCAGAAUGGGGCGAAAUGGACUGCUAUAAAUGGUUUGUGAGACACCAACGUUUGCCUCUUUAACACUUUGUUAAACAUUUAGAGCGAGAGCUUGAAUUUGAAUUUUAUUCUGAUAUUUUCACACACAGGACUUUUGUCAUGUUGCAGCUGCAAUGUUUCUGCUUUUGUUCAGUUACCCUUAAAACAACUUGAUGUUAGUUUAGCAGUACAUACAAUAUGUGGCAGGUGCAUGGUGAGGGGAUAAUAACAGAUUGAAAUUCAAAUUAGUUAUAUAUACCUUUAAUCUUUUUGAUUCAGUAGACAGGAAUUGUCUUAUGUAAAUACAUAGUGGCCAAUAUACAGGAGGGGUGAACACAAUUUCAUGAACACCAGUUGAUAGAAAUACAAUAACCCUGCAAAAUAAUGCUUCAGUGUUCAGUCAAACACUAUAAGGACACUGCACUUUGUCACAGAGGUAUUCAUUAAUGUCUAUGAUCAUUUAACAGCCAUAUUUUUAGAAAUGAUCAUAGACUCCAAUCAAUUCCUCUCUGAUGCAAUCUUAACAGAAAUUGAACGUCAUAAGAUUACUAGAAUCAACCUCAUUACAGGGCUAUUGAAUUGGACUGCAUUAUAAUGUAACGGUGUCAGCGAUAUUGCGUUUACCUGCCGUACUUUUAAACUGUAGAAUUUGGCAUGGCAUGUAGCCAUAUAUCGAAACAUGUAUACAGUAAAGUAUAAUGUGAACUGGCGUCUCAUAUUGCUCAAAGGCCUUGCCAGAAAUUAUAUACGACAUUCUCCGAUUUCUUUGUGAUGGUAUUUUUUAGAAAUGUAUGUGUUCUGCUUUUAUACCAUAUGGAUGACUUUCAUUUAUAGAUAUUUUGUAAUGACAAUCAAAUGUAAAUGAAUGGUUUCUAAUCAUGUUAUUUCACAUAGAUGUUGAAAUAAUCAUUUUUAAUGAAAAUGAUUAUGUUACUAAAGAUAUGGCCAGUUGUUUGUAUUUUCUUUGAAUCUCUUUAAUAUGAAUGGGGCAGAAGUAAAGCAUUGCUCAAAUGUAGUAAUUUGACAAAUUGAUGACUGCAUCUACAAUUAUUUUUGAAUAUUGGGAGCAUUCAGAGUAUCAUACAUACAAUUUUGACUCAACCUUAAACAUGAAUCUAUAAACCAUAACCUCCUAUAUCCUAACUAUUUUCUCCACGGUAUAGUAUCUAGUAAUAUCUUAUAAAACAGAUAUGCCAUAGAUUAAAUCUUUAAUAGAAAAUGAUUUUUUUAAACGGGUGAGAAAGCUGUGUGUGUGGUUUCUUUUUUUCCAGUUUGAAAGUGCAGGAUUUUUUCAAAAGCCAAUUUAUUUGAUGAGCCACUGUUGUGUGUAUAAGAAUAAUAGAAUUAUUCUAAAUUACAAAGUUUUAGAAUGCUUUAGUCAUCUAUCAUAGUAUCAGAAUUGUAUAUUAUACAAUUAUAGAUGUGUAAUAUAUUGUGAAUCGGUGCUCAUUUUAUCAUUGUUUCUUUUUGCUUGAAAUUUUAGGGAAAGUUUAAAUAGAAUGUAACUAUUUGAAGUUCACCUACUACCUUGCAAGUAUACAUACAGUACAUUGUUUUGUUUGUCUUUCAAUGGAUUGUUGCGAUAUUUCUUUACCUCUGUGUAUAGGUCUGGUGGGCAGAAUAAGAUUUAAUGGGAAAUGGUGUAUUCAUAUUGUAGUUAGAAACAAGACCCUAAUAUUCCUCCGAAUCUCAUCAUAAACUGGACAAAACGGAUCACAUGGUUUUUAACAUUUCCAUAUACAUACUGACUAUUCAUAUGAGGCAGAUGAGAAAAAUACAUCUUAGAAUUGCUUGUAUAUUUACAUGAAUCUUUCAUUUUGAAUCUUUGUUUGCAUUGAACUGCUGAAAAUGUGCAUACAUCUGUAUGUGUACACAUUUAAAUAUGUGUGUAUAUUAAAUUUGUGUUUUUAUUCUU